This 406-nucleotide ribosomal RNA is filed under the name uncultured bacterium. Its description in RNAcentral is "partial 16S ribosomal RNA". It matches the Rfam family "Bacterial small subunit ribosomal RNA", at positions 30 to 526 of the family's 1533-position model. The record is from RNAcentral.
AUUGAACGCUGGCGGCAGGCCUAACACAUGCAAGUCGAACGAGUGGCGGACGGGUGAGUAAUGUCUGGGAAACUGCCCGAUGGAGGGGGAUAACUACUGGAAACGGUAGCUAAUACCGCAUACCAUCGGAUGUGCCCAGAUGGGAUUAGCUAGUGGGUGGGGUAACGGCUAACCGAGGCGACGAUCCCUAGCUGGUCUGAGAGGAGGACCGUCCACACUGUAACGGAGACAGGGUCCAGACUCCUACGGGAGGCGGCAGUGGGGAUUAUUGCACAAUGGGCGCAAGCCUGAUGCAGCCAUGCCGCGUGUAUGAAGAAGGCCUGCGGGUUUUAAAGUACUUUCAGCGAGGAGGCGUUACUCGCAGAAGAAGCACCGGCUAACUCCGUGCCAGCAGCCGCGGUAAUAC